CUAGGUCUGGAUGCCAGUACUGCAUGAUUUAAAUUGCUGUAGCUUUGUAAUAUAUUUGGAAAUCAGUUUGUGUGAUUGUGUUGGUUAAGGUGGAGUGAUAACUCGACUGGGUUUGGGGCCUGCCAGGGGACUGGUGGAGAGUACUUCUGGAUGCGUCUAGGUGUCCAUGGAGGCACAGCCUUAGGUGGUGCAGCAGCACCACUGAGCUAAAUACCCGGCCUUUCUGUAUUGCUUUUAACACAUAAGCAAAAGUGUAUUUUGAAUGAAGACCUAGUCUUCAUGUAAAAUUGUAUGUUAGUAGAAGAUAUGUGACACAAUAGUUUGUGAUUGUUGAGGAAGAAGGACAUUUAAACAAACGGAGGAUUUGUUUUUAAUAAAGUAUAUCAUGUGCAUUGUUUGCAGACAGAAGAAAGAUUGGGAGAAGAUAUUUGCGAUCGCUAAAAUUGACAAUGGGAUAUUUUCUAGAGUAUACAAUGAACUGCAACUUUCAAGAACUCCUUAGAAACACCGCUCCUGCCCAGCGAGAUCUGCCUCUCCCACUGCUCUGCCCAAUCUGCCUUAGACCCACGCCCGGACCCUGAGUGGAUGUGAGAUUCGUCCUUGGAGUCACAGCUGUGAUGGUUCCAGUCCGUGGCUCCACAUCAGGCCAAGAUAAAAAUGCAACACAAUGAAAAGGGCUUCUGGUUUCUCGGCUUCCCUUCUCCCUUCUGAGGUUCCUGCAAUCCAGCUUUGGU
This 734-nucleotide long non-coding RNA is filed under the name Fukomys damarensis (Damara mole-rat). RNAcentral's name for it is "lncRNA (ENSFDAG00000021767.1)". The record is from RNAcentral. Lineage: Eukaryota; Metazoa; Chordata; Mammalia; Rodentia; Bathyergidae.